UCCACUACUCAGUUGGUAGAGUAAAAAGCUCUUAACCUUAUGGACGUGGGUUCAAGCCCCAUGGUGGAG
This is a non-coding RNA of Triticum aestivum (bread wheat), 69 nucleotides long. NCBI's taxonomy places the organism in Eukaryota, Viridiplantae, Streptophyta, Magnoliopsida, Poales, Poaceae. The record is from Rfam.